Molecule: transfer RNA, 75 nt
Filed under: Candidatus Viridilinea mediisalina
Lineage: Bacteria; Bacillati; Chloroflexota; Chloroflexia; Chloroflexales; Oscillochloridaceae
Description: tRNA-Met
Rfam family: tRNA
About the family: Transfer RNA (tRNA) molecules are approximately 80 nucleotides in length. Their secondary structure includes four short double-helical elements and three loops (D, anti-codon, and T loops).
Source: RNAcentral
GUCGGGGUAGCUCAGUGGUAGAGCAAACGGCUCAUAAUCGUUAGGUCGCGGGUUCAAAUCCCGCCUCCGACACCA